CAUAGAUUUGGGUAGGGGGGGAUAGGGAAUGUCCAAACUCACACUGGCCCAAAUUAGGAUGCCUAACACCAACUUUAUAUAAUUUCAUUCUGAAUUCUGAAAAUAAAACUCAGCCUAUUUCUCUCAAAUGUUCAUUUGUCAUGCUGCAACAAGAUCCGUAAUUAUCAAGCGACUGUAAUUUUGCAUAGCUGAGCAAAAGUCUUCAUCUGUCUAUAAAUGUGUCAUCUAAUAUUUGAAAGAUUCAGUACAGUGCAACUGGAGUCAAAUUAAUGUGGUUGGAUGCUGCACAAAGUGAGGUACAAUGACAUUAUCUAGGUUUGUCACAACCAAUUGAAAGGUAUUACUUUAGCUAGACUAAAGUAUUGACAUGACAAUUUAAAAACGUUUUAAAAAUUACAGCAUAGGGUUGUCCCCUGCCUCCUUUAAAUCUGUCUCUAAUAAACAGCAUGUGAGAUUAUUAUGGUCUGUUUCUUAGGAGAAAAAUGCAUAAGAAGGCACUUGAGCAACGACCUAAAUUUGAUCUUUAAUUAACCUUAUUGCUGUUGAGUACAAACGUUUGAGAUUUUCCCAACAUGGUUGUAUUAAGGCAGUUUACAUUUCAAGAUAAUAAAAUAGCUGGCACUUCAAGGACAGAACUGGUAUUGUCCUGCUCAGAGGCACAUGAUACAAAUAUAAGGCAGACCAGAGCCAGUUGUAACUAGAACGAGUAGAUGACUUUAUUCCAUGGAAACGGUAACAUACUGUCUUAUAAAUUCAGAAUGUGCACAUACCCACCCUUGAGCACACAUCACUCACAUGAGUGACCAAACCCGGUGAACAGAGGAAGAGGCAGGAAGUUCCUUCUUUCACUUCCAGUCAUGCUGCAUGUAAGUAUCUGUCUGCAGGGUGGAGUUAUGGAGCAGUGUCGACUGCGGUCAGAACAGGAUAUCAACCGCUGUCUGCGUGUAGACGGAGGGAAGAAAUCGAGAAGGGAGGAGGUGAAGGAGAACGAGAUUGGGGAAUCAGUGGUUUGAAACCAUGGAAAUGUACAAAGUCAAAGUAUUAAGAGCAGUUGCUGUAAAUGUAAAAACAAACACAGCUCAAUAAUAUUGUUUAUUAGACCUAGGCAAAAGGCAAUAAUUUCAGUUUCAGAACAAUCAAUUUAACACAUGUAAUGUUCCAUUUAACAGAUAAUUUCUAGUUCAAUUAAUUUUUUUUAUUCUAAUUUUUAAACCAACAAGACCACCAGUUAACAUAAUAAUAACCCCCCACUCCACUCCUUUUUCAAGAGUUGAUCUUUAAGUGGGGAAAUGAUACAAUCAAUGAAAUCAGCUUCAGUUGCAUCAACUACCUGUCAUCUGGACUGGUGGCUCUGGAAUAAACUAGCUGCAUCCUAAAAAUAAUGUGGCAUUUACUGAUUUUGCCUGGUUCAGCAAAAUGUACUUCACAGAACAAAUUUGCGUACUUUGAAAAAAUGGUCAAUACAUGCAUGUGAAUGUUAAAGGGUGUAAGCAUGAGACAAAUUAUGUCUAUCAAUGUGUGUGUGUGUGUGUGUGUGUGUGUGUGUGUGUGUGUGUGUGUGUGUGUGUGUGUGUGUGUUGAAUUGCAGUGGGCAGCUUGUGGUGGAACAGAAGGUCUCUGCAUGGUGGGCAGUGUGGGCGGACUUCGGGAAUCACCGUGAAAAACAAUAACGAGCCAAGGACACUUCCCAAGCAGGGGUUCAAAGAUAUGGAUGAACUGCUGAACAUUCGGCAGAACACUCCUCAAAAUCUUCUACCAGAUUUUGAUUAUUCAGAUGUUUUGCUGAACGUUGUAUUUGGUGGAGCAGCGGUACUCAUCAAACCCGGCGUGCUGGUGAAGCUCAGGCAGCGUGGAUUUCGAAUGACCUACCAUCAUCCCAUUCGUCCAUCUGUCGAAUCUCCACUCUCUACCCAACAGGUCAAGUCAAGUCACCUUUAUUUAUAUAGCACCUUAAACAAAAAAGAUUGUGUCAAAGCAACUGAACAACUUUAAUUAGGAAAACAGUGUGUCAAUAAUGCAAAAUGACAGUUAAAGGCAGUUCAUCAUUGAAUUCAGUGAUGUCAUCAUCUCAGUUCUGUUUAAGUAGUAUCUUCGCAAUCAUUUGCAAUCAAGUCAACAAUAUCACUGUAAAUUAAGUGUCCACAACUAAGCAACCCAGAGGCGACAGCGGCAAGGAACCAAAACUCCAUCGGUGACAGAAUGGAGGAAAAUCCUUGGGAGAGACCAGGCUCAGUCAAGGGGCCAGUUUUCUUCUGACCAGACGAAACCAGCAGUUCAAUUCCAGGUUGCAGCGAAGUCAAAUUGUGCACAAUAAUUCCUCUGAUCUGGAUACAGACCGGAUCAAGUGGCUACGGUGACCACGGAUUAAGAGUGAAACAGACUAAUAUUAGCGUAUAUGCCAUUCUUCUAAUGAUGUAGCAAGUACAUCAGCUGUUAUGGGAAGUGUUCCCAGUUCUGGUUCACCUAAUUAAUGCAGCCUAAAAAUCCUUUAAUGGAUUUGGAUAUUAGAAUCGUAGUCUUAACAAGCUGGACCUUAGCACACUCAAAACUGUGGAAGUGAUUGUUGACCCCCAAUCACCAUCACGUACAGCACUUCAGUGACAGUGGAAACAUUCAGGUUCCUGGCCAUCAUUAUCUCUCAGGACUUGAAGUAUGACAAUAACAUUAAGUCAUUUCACAUUGUGAAAAAGGCCCAGCAGAGGUUGUACUUCCUAUGCUAGAUGAGGAGUUCAACAUGCCAAAGGAGCUGCUGAACAGUUCUAAAUACAUUGCUUCAAAGCAACUGAACAACAUUCAUUAGGAAAACAGUGUCUCAAUAAUGCAAAAUGAUAGUUAAAUGCAGUUCAUCAUUGAAUUCAGUUAUGUCAUCUCUGUUCAGUUUAAAUAGUGCCUGUGCAUUUAUUUGCAAUCAAGUCAAUGAUAUCGCUGUAGAUGAAGUGACCCCAACUAAGCAAGCCAGAGGCGACAGCGGCGACAGCGGCAUAGAACCGAAACACCAUCGGUGACAGAAUGGAGAAAAAAACCUUGGGAGAAACCAGGCUCAGUUGGGGCCAGUUCUCCUCUGACCAGACGAAACCAGUAGUUCAAUUCCAGGCUGCAGCAAAGUCAGAUUGUGCAGAAGAAUCAUCUGUUUCCUGUGGUCUUGUCCUGUUGCUCCUCUGAGACAAGGUCUUUACAGGGGAUCUGUAUCUGGGGAUCUAGUUGUCCUGGUCUAUGCUGUCUUUCAGGAAAGUAAAGGUUUAUGUGUAAACAUGCCUGGGAAUAAAGCUCAUUAAUAGUAGUUUUCAACUAUGUUCCUGGGCCCCCUUAACUGUGCACAUUUUAUAUGUCUCUCUAAGCAAAAACACCUUGUUCAGGUCAUCCACUCAUUAGGAGAGCCAUAAUAUUGGUGUGUCACAAUGGGCAGUUGUGGCGAGUGGGGCGGGGCCGAGAGGCGUGGGAACGAGGAGUGAGGCCAGGUGUAGUGAUUGAAGAUGAGCUGCACCUGCGCCCCACCGCCAGUAUCGAGUCCCACGUAGGAGAUGGAAGGAUAUAAAACUGGAGCGACGACCGUGAAGGACGAGAGAGGACCAGGCCUGGGAUAUUAUUUUAUGUGUUUGCUUUUAUUUGUGCGCGUCAGUCGCCGUGAGGGGCUGACGCGCUGUUGUGUUUAUUUUUGAAUAUUAUUAAAAUGCUUUUUGAUUGUGCGCUGGUUCCCGCCUCCUUCUUCCCGAUGAGUAUGGAGUGAAUAUUGUUACAGCAGUGUUCUAUGGUCCAGGUAAAAGGUUGAGUACCAUUGGUUUAUGCAAUUGAACCACUAUUACUUAUAUCCAAUACACCCACAAUGGUUAAUCAAUGUCUUCAGGAGACAGGUUAAAGCUAAACUCUGCAGGUGCAGGAUUAGACAUGCCAGAUUUUGACCAGGCCUACAGUGAUCCCAUUCAUUGUCCAAAAAAAAAAAAAAAAAAAAAGAGAUGAAUCUGUGUACUGUCAGCGAUGUAACAGUGUCUGGUCUGUGUUCCCUAGGUGCCCACUAGUGGUCUUACUUCCCCAUAAAACCACCCCACUGCAGGCACUACAUUUCCCACACGCCUUGUCAGUUUCAUCACUGUUAAUUGCACACACUGUAAUUGCACUCAGCUGUCCCCACUUUCCCCAUUUACACCUGUACAUAUAUACCCGGUUUGUUUCUAUCAGUUUCAUGGAGUCCUUGUUUUAUUUCACCCUGCUUUCUCGUGUUCCCUAGUGUUUUUCUUGUUUCGGACUGCUUUUGUUUAUAUUGACCUCUUGCCUGUAUGGACUACGAUUUUUGGAUUCUCCUAAGAAACACUGCAAUUGGAUCUCUCUGUUUGUGUGUAAGUUUGUGACAGAAGGACUCCAGCAUGGAGGUGCAGAGGGGGAGGUUCUAGAACCUAAUCAGCCUCCGUCAAAAGGGGAGUGAAGUGGGUGGUCUAGCUCAGAUCUUUUGGACGAUGGCAGUAGGGCUGGGGUAUAAUGAUAAUGCACUUAAAGACUUAUUCAACACCUGCCUGGAUGACCCUGUGCCUGAGCGGGAUAUGACGGGGCUGGAGAUCCUGGACUUCUGAGGGUUCACCAGUUACCUACACCAUCAUUCAAAAUGGGAUACACUGACCACAUCCGACUCUCCAGACACGAUGGCCGACUCUAUGCCGCUGUCUCCAGAAAAGAUGGCCGCCAGCCCAGAACCACUGCCCAAGAUGGCCUUCCACCCAGCGCCACUGCACAAGAUGGCAGCCACAGUGAACUCUCCAGAGCAAGGUCCCCGUUGACCCUCCAGAGUCGAGUCAGUCCCCCGAUGUCACCUUACUCAUGGGUGAGUCUUCUAGUUAGCUCCUAUCAAUUAAAAAAUGCUGCUUGAUAUACAG
This is a long non-coding RNA of Carassius gibelio (silver crucian carp), 4865 nucleotides long. RefSeq lists it as uncharacterized. The transcript is spliced from 3 exons. The record is from RefSeq and is a predicted model, not a curated record. NCBI's taxonomy places the organism in Eukaryota, Metazoa, Chordata, Actinopteri, Cypriniformes, Cyprinidae.